UAUCCUGUCUGAAUAUGGGGGGACCAUCCUCCAAGGCUAAAUACUCCUGACUGACCGAUAGUGAACCAGUACCGUGAGGGAAAGGCGAAAAGAACCCCGGCGAGGGGAGUGAAAAAGAACCUGAAACCGUGUACGUACAAGCAGUGGGAGCACAGAGCAAUCUGUGUGACUGCGUACCUUUUGUAUAAUGGGUCAGCGACUUAUAUUCUGUAGCAAGGUUAACCGAAUAGGGGAGCCGAAGGGAAACCGAGUCUUAACUGGGCGUUAAGUUGCAGGGUAUAGACCCGAAACCCGGUGAUCUAGCCAUGGGCAGGUUGAAGGUUGGGUAACACUAACUGGAGGACCGAACCGACUAAUGUUGAAAAAUUAGCGGAUGACUUGUGGCUGGGGGUGAAAGGCCAAUCAAACCGGGAGAUAGCUGGUUCUCCCCGAAAGCUAUUUAGGUAGCGCCUCGUGAAUUCAUCUCCGGGGGUAGAGCACUGUUUCGGCAAGGGGGUCAUCCCGACUUACCAACCCGAUGCAAACUGCGAAUACCGGAGAAUGUUAUCACGGGAGACACACGGCGGGUGCUAACGUCCGUCGUGAAGAGGGAAACAACCCAGACCGCCAGCUAAGGUCCCAAAGUCAUGGUUAAGUGGGAAACGAUGUGGGAAGGCCCAGACAGCCAGGAUGUUGGCUUAGAAGCAGCCAUCAUUUAAAGAAAGCGUAAUAGCUCACUGGUCGAGUCGGCCUGCGCGGAAGAUGUAACGGGGCUAAACCAUGCACCGAAGCUGCGGCAGCGACACUGUGUGUUGUUGGGUAGGGGAGCGU
RNAcentral lists this ribosomal RNA (810 nucleotides) under Escherichia coli. Its description in RNAcentral is "partial 23S ribosomal RNA". It matches the Rfam family "Bacterial large subunit ribosomal RNA", at positions 430 to 1239 of the family's 2925-position model. The record is from RNAcentral. Lineage: Bacteria; Pseudomonadati; Pseudomonadota; Gammaproteobacteria; Enterobacterales; Enterobacteriaceae.